This is a long non-coding RNA of Quercus robur (English oak), 524 nucleotides long. RefSeq lists it as uncharacterized. NCBI's taxonomy places the organism in Eukaryota, Viridiplantae, Streptophyta, Magnoliopsida, Fagales, Fagaceae. The transcript has 3 exons. The record is from RefSeq and is a predicted model, not a curated record.
GAAAACAACAAGUAGUUGAAGAACAUUCAAAUGUCUCAUUUGGUGGCGCAUGCAAUACACCAGUCUGUCAACCACGUAAUCCCUACUCUUAUACAGGCUUUACAAGUGCUAACUUAUGUGGUCAAUCUUACUCACCUUGGACAAUGCAUUCUCAGGUAUAUAUAUAAUGUAUAGUCAUAAUCUGAUUGCUAUACUUGAUACCUAAUUACGAGCUAUUUUCUAUUUAGGACAUGAGUUAUGUAAAUGUACCAUUUACAUCUAUGUUGCAAGGUACCGAUGUUGUAGCCCAACUUAAUCAGAAUUCAUCUACUUCCCAAAUGAGCUCAUUGAUUUAUAAUUCCAAGCAACCAGAUUACAAAUAUAGCCAAGAGGUUGUCAACCACAUAGAAAAGUUAAAGAAGUAAGACAUGGGCAAUGGCUACAAAGAACUAAGUAAGAGAGUUCAUAAGGUAUUUUUUGAAAAAGGUAGAGUUUGAGCUGGAGUUGGGACUGGAAGAGCUAGAACAUGAGAUAUAUGAUGUGUA